RNAcentral lists this ribosomal RNA (630 nucleotides) under Leptographium olivaceum. Its description in RNAcentral is "eukaryotic LSU rRNA". It matches the Rfam family "Eukaryotic large subunit ribosomal RNA", at positions 1 to 648 of the family's 3401-position model. The record is from RNAcentral. Lineage: Eukaryota; Fungi; Ascomycota; Sordariomycetes; Ophiostomatales; Ophiostomataceae.
UUGACCUCGGAUCAGGUAGGAUUACCCGCUGAACUUAAGCAUAUCAAUAAGCGGAGGAAGAGAAACCAACAGGGAUUGCCUCAGUAACGGCGAGUGAAGCGGCAACAGCUCAGAUUUGGAAUCUGGUCCCUCGGGGCCCGAGUUGUAAUCUGGAGAGGAUGCUUCUGGCGCGGCGCCGUCCGAGUUCCCUGGAACGGGACGCCGGAGAGGGUGAGAGCCCCGUACGGUCGGACGCCUAGCCUGUGUGAAGCUCCUUCGACGAGUCGAGUAGUUUGGGAAUGCUGCUCAAAAUGGGAGGUAAAUUUCUUCUAAAGCUAAAUACCGGCCAGAGACCGAUAGCGCACAAGUAGAGUGAUCGAAAGAUGAAAAGCACUUUGAAAAGAGGGUCAAACAGUACGUGAAAUUGUUGAAAGGGAAGCGCCCGUGGCCAGACUUGUGCCCGGCAGACCAUCCGGCGCCCCCGCGCCGGUGCACUCUGCCGGGCGCAGGCCAGCAUCGGUUUUCCCAGGGGGAUAAAGGCGGCGGGAACGUGGCUCCCUCGGGAGCGUUAUAGCCCGCCGCGUCAUGCCUCUGGGGGGACCGAGGACCGCGCAUUUAUGCAAGGAUGCUGGCGUAAUGGCCACCGGCGAC